RNAcentral lists this ribosomal RNA (370 nucleotides) under uncultured bacterium. RNAcentral's name for it is "bacterial SSU rRNA". It matches the Rfam family "Bacterial small subunit ribosomal RNA", at positions 32 to 384 of the family's 1533-position model. The record is from RNAcentral.
AAUCAACGCUGGCGGCGUGCCUCAGACAUGCAAGUCGAACGAGAACCUCCCUUCGGGGAGGAGACAGUGGCGCACGGGUGAGUAACACGUGGGUAAUUUACCUUUGGGUGGGGAACAACAGCCGGAAACGGCUGCUAAUACCGCAUAAUGCAGCGGCUCGACAUCGAGACAGUUGUUAAAGCGGGGGAUCGCAAGACCUCGCGCCUGAAGAGAAGCCUGCGGCGGAUUAGCUAGUUGGUAGGGUAAUGGCCUACCAAGGCGACGAUCUGUAACCGGCCUGAGAGGGCGGUCGGUCACACUGACACUGACAUACGGGUCAGACUCCUACGGGAGGCAGCAGUCGGGAAUUUUGGGCAAUGGGCGAAAGCCU